UAGUCCAUACCUUGUAAAAUACACUGCAUUAGGGUUUGUGCUUUAUCUUGAGGGCACUGGGAAGCCAGAGGAUUUUAAAGGAAGGUCACAUUUGCAUCUUCAAGCUGCAGUAUGAAGAAUGUAUGGAGAUGAGAGGUGCCUAAAAGCAGGGAGACCAAUUUGGUGGCCAAUGCAAUCAUUCUGGUGAGAGAUCACAGUGGCCUGGACUUAGGUUGGAACUGUGAAGUCAGAGGCUUUUGCCAGGGAAUGAUUAUCUGGAACCGACUUUAAUCUUCACCCCGCCGUUCUUCAUGCUACAAGAUCCUGCUCCCUCUACAUCCACUAUCCUGGCCUCACUCUGCACAGUUGGGGAAGACAGCAGUGCCCCUCUCAGAUGGCAGGCCACCCUCCUCCACCCCAUCCAAAGUGACUUGGCUUAGGAUGUGUCCUGGAAAGUGAAAACAUACAGCAAGUCAGGCCCCCAGAUUCCUGAAGAAGAUCACAGAAUUUGGUGCUCUGGGACUUAUGAGUAAGCUUUGGAGUCAGAAGAGAACUGAAACUCCUGCUCACCCAGGUUCUAACUAUGGAAACAUGCUGUCUUUCUGGGAAAUGGAGACAUCCUGUGCCAAAGCAUGGUUGAAGCCCAGGAUGAGCAUGCGGGCAAAGGAAGAUCUGUUCUGCAUAAAUUCUCGCAGGCACUUCCAAGUGCAAAUUCUUGGCAUCUCCAAGUGACCACAAACAGAGGUGAAGUGGGACAGGUGAGGAUCGGAUGAAAUAAUCUAACCAAGAACACAAAAGGAAAACAGGAAGUCAACGUUCAAACAUAACAGUGGUGCUAGUUUUCCAGGUCCAGGGGCCAUGGCUAACAUGGGAUGCAGAGAAAGCCAGGGUCAGCUCUCUGAGUGGCUCAAUCCUCCCAGUCACUCAGCCCUUCAGGGAAGCACUGCUUCCUGCCUUCCCCUCUCCUCCCAGUGCAGCUGAAAUGGAUACCCUCUGGCACGUGCUGGAGAGAGAGAUGGAGAAAUUCUGCCUGGAGAGAGAAUUGGCAAAUCUGGGAUUGACUCCAGCUUGGCCAACAGUGUCCUUUGCCAACUGGUGCUCCUCAGAGCUCCCUGCCCUAGAUAGAUACAGAGUUGUAUCUAGCCUUUCAAAAUCCACCUACUGAUGUGGAGAAAGGGGAACCCUCUUACACUGUUGGUGGGAAUGCAAACUGUUGCAACUACUCUGGAAAACAGUAUGGAGGUUCCUCAAAAAGUUAAAAAUAGAACUAUCCUAUGAUCCAGCAACUGCACUACUAGGUAUUUACCCAAAGAAUACAAAAAUACUCAGUCAAAGGGAUCCAGGCACCCCAAUAUUUACAGCAACAUUAUCCACAAUAGCCAAAUUAUGGAAACAGCCCAAGUGCCCAUUGAUUGAUGAAUGAAUAAAGAAGAUGAUAUAUAUAUGAUAUAAGUGAGAUAUAUAUUAUAUAUAUAUAUAUAAUAUAUAUAAUGGAAUAAUACUCAGCCAUAAGAAAAAUGAAAUCUUGCCAUUUGUAAUGACAUGGAUGGAGCUAGAGAGUAUUAUGCUAAGCAAAAUAACUCAGAGAAAGACAAAUACCAUAUGGUUUCAUUCAUGUGGAAUUUAAGAAACAAAAUGAAUGAGCAAAGGGGGAAGAAGAGAGAGGCAAACCAAGAAACAGACUUUUAACUGUAGAGAACAAACUGAUCGUCACCAGAGGGGAGGUGGGAGGGGGGAUGGGUGAAAUAAGUGAUAGGGAUUAAGAAGUGCAUUUGUUGUGAUGAGCUCAGGGUGUUGUACGGAAGUGUUGAAUCAUAUAUUGUAUACCUGCAACUAAU
Mirounga angustirostris (Northern elephant seal) is the source of this 1817-nucleotide long non-coding RNA. RefSeq lists it as uncharacterized. The record is from RefSeq and is a predicted model, not a curated record. Lineage: Eukaryota; Metazoa; Chordata; Mammalia; Carnivora; Phocidae. The transcript is spliced from 3 exons.